ACACUGAAGGCUCAUUUUCCCAUUAACACACAAAUCUAUGCUACCAUAUCACUAGAUAAUUAUACCUGAAUGAGCAGUGACAAAAAUAGAUGUAACAAACCUAAUUAAAUUUUGACAAGAAAAAAUAAACUAGAAAGAUUUUUAAGUGGAAACAAACAUCCUUCGUAAUGGAUCAUGCUUCCUGCUUUGGGUACACCUUGUUUAUGAUCGAUGGAUGAAUUAAUAUUUUAUACCUUUUAUUAUGUGUGUGCCAUUGUGAUGUAUACAAG
Long non-coding RNA from Arabidopsis thaliana (thale cress), 269 nucleotides. RefSeq annotates it as other RNA. Lineage: Eukaryota; Viridiplantae; Streptophyta; Magnoliopsida; Brassicales; Brassicaceae. The record is from RefSeq. The transcript has a single exon.